This 125-nucleotide unclassified non-coding RNA is filed under the name Serratia proteamaculans. Its description in RNAcentral is "P9". The stretch from base 48 to 125 matches the Rfam family "Pseudomonas sRNA P9". Rfam says of the family: P9 appears to be conserved in several Pseudomonas species in addition to Bordetella spp. In both Pseudomonas and Bordetella spp P9 appears to be located upstream of a predicted threonine dehydratase gene. The record is from RNAcentral. Lineage: Bacteria; Pseudomonadati; Pseudomonadota; Gammaproteobacteria; Enterobacterales; Yersiniaceae.
CUUUAUCUUAUUGAUAACUGAUGAACAGAAAUCGUUUUUCAUUCGUGCAGAUUAUUAUCACCAUUCAUAGAGUGGUGGGAUAGCGCGUCUGUUUUAAGCGAAAACCCGCCAGUCAGGCGGGUUUA